RNAcentral lists this ribosomal RNA (900 nucleotides) under Candidatus Phytoplasma pini. Its description in RNAcentral is "bacterial SSU rRNA". It matches the Rfam family "Bacterial small subunit ribosomal RNA", at positions 294 to 1203 of the family's 1533-position model. The record is from RNAcentral. Lineage: Bacteria; Bacillati; Mycoplasmatota; Mollicutes; Acholeplasmatales; Acholeplasmataceae.
GAGAGGUUGAACGGCCACAUUGGGACUGAGACACGGCCCAAACUCCCACGGGAGGCAGCAGUAGGGAAUUUUCGGCAAUGGAGGAAACUCUGACCGAGCAACGUCGCGUGAACGAUGAAGUAUUUCGGUAUGUAAAGUUCUUUUAUUGAAGAAGAAAAAAUAGUGGAAAAACUAUCUUGACGCUAUUCAAUGAAUAAGCCCUGGCUAAUUAUGUGCCAGCAGCCGCGGUAAUACAUAAAGGGCGAGCGUUAUCCGGAAUUAUUGGGCGUAAAGGGUGCGUAGGCGGUUUGUUAAGUCUUUAGUUUAAUCUCAGUGCUUAACGCUGUUCUGCUAGAGAAACUGACUUACUAGAGUGAGAUAGAGGCAAGUGGAAUUCCAUGUGUCAGCGGUAAAAUGCGUAAAUAUAUGGAGGAACACCAGAGGCGUAGGCGGCUUGCUGGGUCUUUACUGACGCUGAGGCACGAAAGCGUGGGGAGCAAACAGGAUUAGAUACCCUGGUAGUCCACGCCGUAAACGAUGAGUACUAAGUGUCGGGGAAACUCGGUACUGAAGUUAACACAUUAAGUACUCCGCCUGAGUAGUACGUACGCAAGUAUGAAACUUAAAGGAAUUGACGGGAUCCCGCACAAGCGGUGGAUCAUGUUGUUUAAUUCGAAGAUACACGAAAAACCUUACCAGGUCUUGACAUACUCUGCAAAGCUGUAGAAAUACAGUGGAGGUUAUCAGGGAUACAGGUGGUGCAUGGUUGUCGUCAGCUCGUGUCGUGAGAUGUUAGGUUAAGUCCUAGAACGAGCGCAACCCUUGUCGUUAGUUACCAGCACGUUAUGGUGGGCACUUUAACGAGACUGCCAAUGAAAUAUUGGAGGAAGGUGAGGAUUACGUCAAAUCAUCAUGCCCCUU